Molecule: long non-coding RNA, 536 nt
Organism: Homarus americanus (American lobster)
Lineage: Eukaryota; Metazoa; Arthropoda; Malacostraca; Decapoda; Nephropidae
Exons: 3
Source: RefSeq, a predicted model, not a curated record
ACAGAUUUGAUGACUAGCCUUCCUGAUCUCCUCAUCCACAUACAGUUACCCCCGCCAGCACCACAGACUCCUCGGCCACAGCUGGAGGACAACGAGAAAGUGCAUUAAAUAAUCAAUGGCAGCAGCGGAACACACCUGUCGCCUCCAAACCGACUGAUGUGAUGGUGGUGUACAGCGUGUGUAGGCCGUGACGUCACUCAAUAUGGCUGCCAGGCUUGGACCAGAGGAGUUGGAUGUUCCUAAGAUCGUAAGGUUUUAUUUUCCUUAACCGCAGACAUGAGAGUUGAGCUAACCUAACCUUACCUUAACCCUACCCUACUUAUAGCACACACAGAGGAGGUGAAAAGGUGUGCUUCAAGACUCAACCUAAACAAGAUAUUUUCUGGCGCCUUUGUUUCGAUGCAAAUGAACACCUUGAGAACAGGUGCCCGGCCACAGGUGUGUGAGACUAUUACCUGAUCUCUUGCUGUGCUCCCUCCUUCCUUCCUUCACUCACCCAUUCUGUUCUUCCUGCCUUCCCUUCCCCCAUCUUUCAC